CGCGCAGGCGGUCGAUCAAGUCGGAUGUGAAAGCCCCCGGCUCAACUGGGGAGGGUCAUUCGAUACUGGUCGACUCGAAGGCAGGAGAGGGAAGCGGAAUUCCCGGUGUAGUGGUGAAAUGCGUAGAUAUCGGGAGGAACACCAGUGGCGAAGGCGGCUUCCUGGCCUGUUCUUGACGCUGAGGCGCGAAAGCUAGGGGAGCAAACGGGAUUAGAUACCCCGGUAGUCCUAGCUGUAAACGAUGGACACUAGGUGUUGGUGGUAUCAACCCCGCCAGUGCCGUAGCUAACGCAUUAAGUGUCCCGCCUGGGGAGUACGGCCGCAAGGCUAAA
RNAcentral lists this ribosomal RNA (332 nucleotides) under uncultured bacterium. Its description in RNAcentral is "bacterial SSU rRNA". It matches the Rfam family "Bacterial small subunit ribosomal RNA", at positions 568 to 898 of the family's 1533-position model. The record is from RNAcentral.